RNAcentral lists this long non-coding RNA (2243 nucleotides) under Calidris pugnax (ruff). RNAcentral describes it as "lncRNA (ENSCPUG00000011700.1)". Lineage: Eukaryota; Metazoa; Chordata; Aves; Charadriiformes; Scolopacidae. The record is from RNAcentral.
CAGCUGAGCACACUACAGUGAGCACUGUCAAUAAUUCCUUUUAUUCUCCAGCUAAUCAAGAAACCCAGCCUUUGAUAUCUGAGUCAUUGCUCCACAUCCUGCCCCGCUUCAGCACUUCCUCAUUCAAGGCAGAAGCUCCUUGCAGCAGCACAUUUCAAUCUCAGCACAUUCAGGCAGGAUACCGAGAGAUCCCACACUGCCUUCCCUCCCACUCAGGACAAGGAAUCUAGAGCCAGCCAUCCCUGUGGAAGCUGAACAUUCCUAAACAUACACAGAAGGUGGCAGUCCAGUCCAGGUGGCAAGACACUGCAGACACAUGUCAAUGGCCAGAGCUUUGUUUCAACAGAGACAGAAAUAGCAGCUGGAGCAGCCGGUGAAGUUCACGACUGGGAAGGAUUCCUAAGGGCCAGGAAGGCACAAAAAUGAAAUGGGAGACUUCUCUCUGGAUGGUUGCCUGCUUACUGUUUGCAUCUCUACCCAGAGGUCAACCAGACACAACAUGUCACGCAGUAGUUGGAGAAACUGUCAUUUUGCCUUGCACCACUCCCUCUCCUGGAGACCUGAUCCUUUCCAAUUCAAUGCUCUACUGGCAGAUAGGGCACACUGUCUUAGUCCACUUUUUUUACAAGGGGCAGGACUCGCUGGAACACCAGAAUGAACGUUACUCUGGCAGAACUAGUCUUUUUUUGGACCAGAUGAAGCAUGGCAACUUUUCCUUAAAGCUCUCCAGUGUCCAAUUACUGGACACAGCUGAAUAUACUUGCAUCUACAAACGGACUGGGGAUCAUCCCAACCAAACACAGAAAUCUAAAAUUAAUCUCAUUGUAUCAGCUCCACCUAGCAUUGAAGAGGCACCUUCCCCUUCUGGACACAGCCAGAUUUCCUCCAGAAGCCCUGCUGAUGUGCCAUUUCUGGCUAUGCUUCCCCUCUCUUUCCACCUCCUGGUCUCACUGGGGGUUUGGCAGUUGUAACUGGGGAACAGGAGAAUCUUUGGGAAUUUCUCCUCACCAGAGGACCUCGCUGGGCAGAACAGCUCUGUAGGGUUAGCAUGACACCUGCUCCAGAGCCAUGGGGGAAGAAUCAUCAAAGCUGAGAACUGACCUAGCACUAGGUGUUUAUAUCCCACAUUCUGGUGUUCCACAAAGCCAAAGGCAGCAACACUCAGAGGUGGCACGUCUACUUUCUCAUUUUUUUCUGGGAGCCCAGUUUUAGUGCUGCCAGUAUGAACAUUUUAUUUUGGAUUUUGCGGUUUUGCUUUAGCGGCAGGAUAAAAGAUUCACAAAAUUACAAAGUCAUAUAAUUGACCUGAGUGAGAUCUUUCUCCUAAGACCUCAUCUGCUGUCCUUCAAGAGAACCAAAAAGGAGGAGAAGUGGUAAUUAGCCUCUGUGUCAGAUAAAAACUGGAAGUAGGAAGACGCUUGCGUUUUGUGAAAUGUAAGGAUGGAAACCUUGUGAAACUUGAGCCUGUGGAACUUCAGCUUCUAUUUUUACUCUUCAGCGUCAUGGGCUAUCAGCAACAACUUUUUUUUUCCACAAGAAAUGUAGUAGUUCUUCAGCGGAAGGAUGAAGCUGACUGAGAAAAAUGAUGGAAGUUCAUAAAACAUCAACAUAGAGGAAGGAAGUGACGUAUUAUUACAAAAUCCACUGCUAAAUAAGCCAAAAGCUUUAGAAGUCUGAAUUCGGUAUUUUCUCUUUUUGUCCUUAAACACAGCAAGGUAAAUGUGAUCAUCGCCCAAAAGCUGGAUUCUUAAGCUAAAACUGUGCGACCAGAAAUUGUUACUGUGACAAUGUUACUUCUUUAAAAACGGCACCUUUGGAGGAAAAAAGAAUUAAAAACUGGUCAGAAUAAUUGUAACCGAUACCUAUGCAAAUUAAAUGGGUUUAGUUCUGGAAACGCUGGACUCAGGUAGCACAGAUGUCCUGUAUAAAACUGAGACUGAAAGGAUCCUGUGUACCAGCAACAUCAAGAAAGUGCAGAGGUUUCAUUUCAGGCCAGAGCUGCUGCGACUGCCCUCUUAUAGAAUGGAGAAGCAUCUGGAGAAUCCUCACCCUGGCCGGUGGGCAGCGGUGAUUGCAGCGCACUCCUUCUGCCUGAGCCCUCAAGCAGAGGGAAGUGACUCAUCAGGUUGCAUAUAAAGUCAUUUUUAUUUGGAACAGUUCCACUCUCUUUCCAAAGGAAAGACGGGAUUGUUUUUGCCGGGAAAUGAACAGAAUAAAAUAAAAGAGUUUCAAAAUGGUAUCCA